Molecule: transfer RNA, 68 nt
Filed under: Megaloprepus caerulatus
Lineage: Eukaryota; Metazoa; Arthropoda; Insecta; Odonata; Coenagrionidae
Description: tRNA-Tyr
Rfam family: tRNA
About the family: Transfer RNA (tRNA) molecules are approximately 80 nucleotides in length.
Source: RNAcentral
AGUAAAAUGGUUGAGAAAUAAACAAUAGAUUGUAAAUCUAUUUACGAGGAUAGACUCCUCUUUUGCUA